GACGAACGCUGGCGGCGUGCCUAAUACAUGCAAGUCGAGCGGACCAAAGGGAGCUUGCUCCUGGAGGUUAGCGGCGAACGGGUGAGUAACACGUGGGCAACCUGCCUGUAAGACUGGGAUAACAUCGAGAAAUCGGUGCUAAUACCGGAUAAUAAAAAGAACUGCAUGGUUCUUUUUUGAAAGAUGGUUUCGGCUAUCACUUACAGAUGGGCCCGCGGCGCAUUAGCUAGUUGGUGAGGUAACGGCUCACCAAGGCGACGAUGCGUAGCCGACCUGAGAGGGUGAUCGGCCACACUGGGACUGAGACACGGCCCAGACUCCUACGGGAGGCAGCAGUAGGGAAUCUUCCGCAAUGGACGAAAGUCUGACGGAGCAACGCCGCGUGAGUGAUGAAGGUUUUCGGAUCGUAAAACUCUGUUGUUAGGGAAGAACAAAGUGCCGUUCGAAAGGGCGGCACCUUGACGGUACCUAACGAGAAAGCCACGGCUAACUACGUGCCAGCAGCCGCGGUAAAG
Molecule: ribosomal RNA, 515 nt
Filed under: uncultured bacterium
Lineage: Bacteria
Description: bacterial SSU rRNA
Rfam family: Bacterial small subunit ribosomal RNA
Source: RNAcentral